GAAGACAGACUGUUGUGUCUUCUGGUCUUGUAGUCGGUUUCUAAAAGCUCACAUUUAGAAAAAGGAGAAAAGAAGGAGAACCAGAAAGGAAGCAAAGAAGAAAUAAUCCAAGGAAUAGAAUAGGAACCAAGAGAGUCAGAGAAACAAGGAGGAGAAAGUUUCAAGAAACGGACAGUGGUUAACUGUGCAAAACAAAUUGAGGAAGGAAGACGAGGACUAAAACGGGACCUUUAAGUGAGCAAUGAGGAUACCAUGACAGCAUUUGACAGCAUUUUCACCAGAAUGGAUAAUAUCUCUGCCUAAGUACAACAAACUGAAUUACUUGGAGGAGGAAGACAGCAGAGACAGAGGAUACAGAGCCACGGCAGCUGAAAGAAAGAAAACUCAGCAGGGGUAACCCUAAUCUCCUAACCUCCAGGAUCUAAUGCCUGAUGAUCUGAGGUGGAGCUGAGGUAAUAAUAAUAAUAGACAUAAAGUGCGCAGUUAAUGUGAUAUGUCUGAAUCAUCCGGAAACCAUCACCCCCGCCCUGGU
Molecule: long non-coding RNA, 532 nt
Organism: Bos indicus x Bos taurus (hybrid cattle)
Lineage: Eukaryota; Metazoa; Chordata; Mammalia; Artiodactyla; Bovidae
Source: Ensembl